RNAcentral lists this transfer RNA (54 nucleotides) under Megalocaria dilatata. RNAcentral's name for it is "tRNA-Ser". Lineage: Eukaryota; Metazoa; Arthropoda; Insecta; Coleoptera; Coccinellidae. The record is from RNAcentral.
GAAAUAUAUUUUUAAGCUUCUAACUUAAUACUUAGCAAUUAUGUUAAUAUUUCU